CCUAAUGCCAAUGUUAAAUUACAAAUUGUAAAAUCCUUUUUUUCUUGUUAGAUGAACAAUGCCAACACCAUAAACAAAAACUUUCACAUUCUAAACUCCUUCGUUCUCUCUAUUGUCUUCUUCAUCAUCUCAUCUUUCUCCUUGGUUAGGAUUGACAUUACAAUUAGAGAAGGAGACUUCUUCCACUCCGCUAUCUUAGUCUAUCUCAAGGUAAGUACCCCCC
This 223-nucleotide long non-coding RNA is filed under the name Vigna radiata. Its description in RNAcentral is "long non-coding RNA (VRAD_LNC003051)". The record is from RNAcentral. Lineage: Eukaryota; Viridiplantae; Streptophyta; Magnoliopsida; Fabales; Fabaceae.